RNAcentral lists this ribosomal RNA (507 nucleotides) under uncultured bacterium. RNAcentral's name for it is "partial 16S ribosomal RNA". It matches the Rfam family "Bacterial small subunit ribosomal RNA", at positions 28 to 507 of the family's 1533-position model. The record is from RNAcentral.
GACGAACGCUGGCGGCGUGCCUAAUACAUGCAAGUCGAACGCAUUUUCUUUCACCGUAGCUUGCUACACCGACAGAAAAUGAGUGGCGAACGGGUGAGUAACACGUGGGUAACCUGCCCAUCAGCGGGGGAUAACACUUGGAAACAGGUGCUAAUACCGCAUAAUUCCAUUUACCGCAUGGUAAAUGGAUGAAAGGCGCUUUUGCGUCACUGAUGGAUGGACCCGCGGUGCAUUAGCUAGUUGGUGGGGUAACGGCCUACCAAGGCUGCGAUGCAUAGCCGACCUGAGAGGGUGAUCGGCCACACUGGGACUGAGACACGGCCCAGACUCCUACGGGAGGCAGCAGUAGGGAAUCUUCGGCAAUGGACGCAAGUCUGACCGAGCAACGCCGCGUGAGUGAAGAAGGGUUUCGGAUCGUAAAACUCUGUUGUUAGAGAAGAACAAGGAUGAGAGUGGAAAGUUCAUCCCUUGACGGUAUCUAACCAGAAAGCCACGGCUAACUACGUG